RNAcentral lists this long non-coding RNA (712 nucleotides) under Homo sapiens (human). RNAcentral's name for it is "long non-coding RNA NONHSAT203056.1". The record is from RNAcentral. Lineage: Eukaryota; Metazoa; Chordata; Mammalia; Primates; Hominidae.
AUUUCUGGAUUCUUUGGAAAUGUGAUUACUUACAACCUGUCUUUAACAUGUAGGAAAACCGUUUUACUUCGAUUAUUUCACAUCAAGUUCGCAACUUGCAAAAUUAAGUGGAGGAUAGGCAGUUUUCUUAAUAAACUAAUACAGAAAACAACAUUGGCUUAAUUUCAGAGUAAUCUUUUUAAAUACAUUAUUUUUAUAGUUAACUGGAACCACUUUUCCAAUUUGUAUUUAUUCAGAGGAAAAAUUUUUAAAAGUCACCUUGGACUGAAGACCAGCAUCAGUUUAUAUGGUGUGAGUUCUUUCCAUUUGCCUUAGAUUGCACCUACACUGACAGAAGAAAGUAAAAAGGUAAGCAAUUAUCUUAGGAUUGUACUAGUAAAAAUUAUAUCAAUUAUAUCUACUUGGUGUAGACAGCCCAGCCUGUCUUUCAGCAUAGGAAAAUUGGUCAUGGGUAGAUUUUUCAGGGUGACUUAGUUUGAGACCAAGAAAUAGUCAUUGCUGUUUUUGUCAAGUAUAAAAUAGAUUCCAGAAUGCAUUCCUUCAUCCUCGAAGGCCCUUCUCAUUAGCAUUGGACCUAAUUAUCUAGAUAUAAUUUGUUAAAGGUUUUACACUUCUUUAAAGAAGGCUACUGAGUCACCAGCAUUUAAUAUUCAUUCAUUCAUUCAUUCAUUCAUUCAUUUAACAACUAUUCACUGAGCACCUACUAUCUGCU